UUAAGCGACUAAGCGUACACGGUGGAUGCCCUGGCAGUCAGAGGCGAUGAAGGACGUGCUAAUCUGCGAUAAGCGUCGGUAAGGUGAUAUGAACCGUUAUAACCGGCGAUUUCCGAAUGGGGAAACCCAGUGUGUUUCGACACACUAUCAUUAACUGAAUCCAUAGGUUAAUGAGGCGAACCGGGGGAACUGAAACAUCUAAGUACCCCGAGGAAAAGAAAUCAACCGAGAUUCCCCCAGUAGCGGCGAGCGAACGGGGAGCAGCCCAGAGCCUGAAUCAGUGUGUGUGUUAGUGGAAGCGUCUGGAAAGGCGCGCGAUACAGGGUGACAGCCCCGUACACAAAAAUGCACAUGCUGUGAGCUCGAUGAGUAGGGCGGGACACGUGGUAUCCUGUCUGAAUAUGGGGGGACCAUCCUCCAAGGCUAAAUACUCCUGACUGACCGAUAGUGAACCAGUACCGUGAGGGAAAGGCGAAAAGAACCCCGGCGAGGGGAGUGAAAAAGAACCUGAAACCGUGUACGUACAAGCAGUGGGAGCACGCUUAGGCGUGUGACUGCGUACCUUUUGUAUAAUGGGUCAGCGACUUAUAUUCUGUAGCAAGGUUAACCGAAUAGGGGAGCCGAAGGGAAACCGAGUCUUAACUGGGCGUUAAGUUGCAGGGUAUAGACCCGAAACCCGGUGAUCUAGCCAUGGGCAGGUUGAAGGUUGGGUAACACUAACUGGAGGACCGAACCGACUAAUGUUGAAAAAUUAGCGGAUGACUUGUGGCUGGGGGUGAAAGGCCAAUCAAACCGGGAGAUAGCUGGUUCUCCCCGAAAGCUAUUUAGGUAGCGCCUCGUGAAUUCAUCUCCGGGGGUAGAGCACUGUUUCGGCAAGGGGGUCAUCCCGACUUACCAACCCGAUGCAAACUGCGAAUACCGGAGAAUGUUAUCACGGGAGACACACGGCGGGUGCUAACGUCCGUCGUGAAGAGGGAAACAACCCAGACCGCCAGCUAAGGUCCCAAAGUCAUGGUUAAGUGGGAAACGAUGUGGGAAGGCCCAGACAGCCAGGAUGUUGGCUUAGAAGCAGCCAUCAUUUAAAGAAAGCGUAAUAGCUCACUGGUCGAGUCGGCCUGCGCGGAAGAUGUAACGGGGCUAAACCAUGCACCGAAGCUGCGGCAGCGACGCUUAUGCGUUGUUGGGUAGGGGAGCGUUCUGUAAGCCUGUGAAGGUGUGCUGUGAGGCAUGCUGGAGGUAUCAGAAGUGCGAAUGCUGACAUAAGUAACGAUAAAGCGGGUGAAAAGCCCGCUCGCCGGAAGACCAAGGGUUCCUGUCCAACGUUAAUCGGGGCAGGGUGAGUCGACCCCUAAGGCGAGGCCGAAAGGCGUAGUCGAUGGGAAACAGGUUAAUAUUCCUGUACUUGGUGUUACUGCGAAGGGGGGACGGAGAAGGCUAUGUUGGCCGGGCGACGGUUGUCCCGGUUUAAGCGUGUAGGCUGGUUUUCCAGGCAAAUCCGGAAAAUCAAGGCUGAGGCGUGAUGACGAGGCACUACGGUGCUGAAGCAACAAAUGCCCUGCUUCCAGGAAAAGCCUCUAAGCAUCAGGUAACAUCAAAUCGUACCCCAAACCGACACAGGUGGUCAGGUAGAGAAUACCAAGGCGCUUGAGAGAACUCGGGUGAAGGAACUAGGCAAAAUGGUGCCGUAACUUCGGGAGAAGGCACGCUGAUAUGUAGGUGAAGUCCCUCGCGGAUGGAGCUGAAAUCAGUCGAAGAUACCAGCUGGCUGCAACUGUUUAUUAAAAACACAGCACUGUGCAAACACGAAAGUGGACGUAUACGGUGUGACGCCUGCCCGGUGCCGGAAGGUUAAUUGAUGGGGUUAGCCGCAAGGCGAAGCUCUUGAUCGAAGCCCCGGUAAACGGCGGCCGUAACUAUAACGGUCCUAAGGUAGCGAAAUUCCUUGUCGGGUAAGUUCCGACCUGCACGAAUGGCGUAAUGAUGGCCAGGCUGUCUCCACCCGAGACUCAGUGAAAUUGAACUCGCUGUGAAGAUGCAGUGUACCCGCGGCAAGACGGAAAGACCCCGUGAACCUUUACUAUAGCUUGACACUGAACAUUGAGCCUUGAUGUGUAGGAUAGGUGGGAGGCUUAGAAGUGUGGACGCCAGUCUGCAUGGAGCCGACCUUGAAAUACCACCCUUUAAUGUUUGAUGUUCUAACGUUGACCCGUAAUCCGGGUUGCGGACAGUGUCUGGUGGGUAGUUUGACUGGGGCGGUCUCCUCCUAAAGAGUAACGGAGGAGCACGAAGGUUGGCUAAUCCUGGUCGGACAUCAGGAGGUUAGUGCAAUGGCAUAAGCCAGCUUGACUGCGAGCGUGACGGCGCGAGCAGGUGCGAAAGCAGGUCAUAGUGAUCCGGUGGUUCUGAAUGGAAGGGCCAUCGCUCAACGGAUAAAAGGUACUCCGGGGAUAACAGGCUGAUACCGCCCAAGAGUUCAUAUCGACGGCGGUGUUUGGCACCUCGAUGUCGGCUCAUCACAUCCUGGGGCUGAAGUAGGUCCCAAGGGUAUGGCUGUUCGCCAUUUAAAGUGGUACGCGAGCUGGGUUUAGAACGUCGUGAGACAGUUCGGUCCCUAUCUGCCGUGGGCGCUGGAGAACUGAGGGGGGCUGCUCCUAGUACGAGAGGACCGGAGUGGACGCAUCACUGGUGUUCGGGUUGUCAUGCCAAUGGCACUGCCCGGUAGCUAAAUGCGGAAGAGAUAAGUGCUGAAAGCAUCUAAGCACGAAACUUGCCCCGAGAUGAGUUCUCCCUGACCCUUUAAGGGUCCUGAAGGAACGUUGAAGACGACGACGUUGAUAGGCCGGGUGUGUAAGCGCAGCGAUGCGUUGAGCUAACCGGUACUAAUGAACCGUGAGGCUUAACCU
This 2903-nucleotide ribosomal RNA is filed under the name Escherichia coli. RNAcentral's name for it is "23S ribosomal RNA". It matches the Rfam family "Bacterial large subunit ribosomal RNA". Lineage: Bacteria; Pseudomonadati; Pseudomonadota; Gammaproteobacteria; Enterobacterales; Enterobacteriaceae. The record is from RNAcentral.